RNAcentral lists this ribosomal RNA (373 nucleotides) under uncultured organism. Its description in RNAcentral is "partial 16S ribosomal RNA". It matches the Rfam family "Bacterial small subunit ribosomal RNA", at positions 527 to 896 of the family's 1533-position model. The record is from RNAcentral.
GUAGGUGGCAAGCGUUGUCCGGAAUUAUUGGGCGUAAAGCGCGCGCAGGCGGUCCUUUAAGUCUGAUGUGAAAGCCCACGGCUCAACCGUGGAGGGUCAUUGGAAACUGGGGGACUUGAGUACAGAAGAGGAGAGCGGAAUUCCAAGUGUAGCGGUGAAAUGCGUAGAGAUUUGGAGGAACACCAGUGGCGAAGGCGGCUUUCUGGUCUGUAACUGACGCUGAGGCGCGAAAGCGUGGGGAGCAAACAGGGAUUAGAUACCCUGGUAGUCCACGCCGUAAACGAUGAGUGCUAAGUGUUAGGGGGUUUCCCGCCCCUUAGUGCUGCAGCUAACGCAUUAAGCACUCCGCCUGGGGAGUACGGCCGCAAGGCUG